AAUCACCGAUCUGCAGACUGCAGCCAUGGCCAUGAGGGCAAUCACGCUGUCCCACUCGCAGAGCGCCUCGUUUGGGCACCACCACCACCAAACCAUGCCGUCCUCCUUCAGGCCAAGCACUGCCUCCACCAGAUCAGUGAAGGUCUACGCAAAGGAAGAUGAGGAGAAGGGCAGCAAGCAGUCAUUGUUCGGGAGCAUCACCGAGGCGCUGGACUUCUCGCAGGUCCGGUCGGAGAAGGACGCGGAGCUUCUGUAUGAAGCCAGAGAGGCCACAAAGGAUGGAGGAAGGAUGACAAAGGAGCAGUAUGGAGCACUUCGGAGGAAGAUCGGUGGCACCUACAAGGAUUUCUUCAAGUCAUAUGUGGAUGUUGACGGGGAAUACGUAGAGGAAGGUUGGGUGGAUAAGACCUGCAAAGUUUGCAAGAAGGACACUAGAGGGGAACCCAGGCAGGUCGACAAGCUAGGAAGAUAUGCACAUGUCGCAUGCUUGGAGAACCCAAAACCGACCAACAUCUUCGCCAAAUUGUUCGCCAGAUGAACUUCAAUUG
This 548-nucleotide unclassified non-coding RNA is filed under the name Hevea brasiliensis (rubber tree). The record is from RNAcentral. Lineage: Eukaryota; Viridiplantae; Streptophyta; Magnoliopsida; Malpighiales; Euphorbiaceae.